Mangifera indica (mango) is the source of this 1710-nucleotide long non-coding RNA. RefSeq lists it as uncharacterized. Lineage: Eukaryota; Viridiplantae; Streptophyta; Magnoliopsida; Sapindales; Anacardiaceae. The transcript has 3 exons. The record is from RefSeq and is a predicted model, not a curated record.
GCCAAAAGUCUGGUGCGACUUGAACAAUUGAUAUUGUCACAAUGUAAAAUGAUGGCAGAAGUAGUAUCAAGUGAGGGGGGUACAAAAGCCGAGGAAAUUGUUUUUGACAAACUAAAGCUGCUGUCACUUGGUAAUUUAAAAAAUCUCACAAGCUUUAGCUCCGGUAAUUAUGUCCUCAAAUUUCCAGCUUUGGAAGAAUUGAUAGUUUGCAAAUGCCACAAUAUGAAGACUUUCUUUGAAGGAGUCUUAAGUGUACCAAUUUUACGAAAAGUAAAACAGCAACGACAUGACGAAUUAGGAUGCUGGGAGGGUGACCUUAAUACUACUAUUCAAUUUCUACACAGAAAAAAGUGAAUAUUCAGAGUUCUGGAAGGAUACAGAGCAAACUUCAAUGAAAUCUCUGGAAUAAGGCUCUUUUGUUUGUGGUUUGUGAGGCAUUAUUGCAGCUCAAGUUUCCUGUGUUGAGGUCAGAGCAAUUCUGGAAUCAUCCUUUCUGUCGCAAAGCUCUCUCCUGGCCAAGCAGCUUUUCGUUUCUUAGCAAGCUAUCAAAAUGGGAAGUUUGUGCUUGCAUACUGCAGGUUUCCUUGCGUUGAUUUAUUGGAACUUGCAAAGGCAUUUCUGUCCAAGGUCAAAUAUCAGAGCCAAGUUCCAAAUCAAUUUCAAUUGAUAUUUUUGUUUAUCUUGUCCAGCUUCUGGUUCCAGGUGUUCUGCUCCAGAAUAGAUUGUGGAUCCUCUGCUUCCUUGGUUCCCUGUAUCGUCCUGUCUUUCCAGAACCAACCUCUGCAAUUGCUUACCUGCUGUGCUUGUCAUGGGAUUAGUGCUGCUGUAAGUUUCUUCUGCAGGAUCCAAUCCCAGAUCUUCUCUACUUCUCUGCCCAGAUUUUCUGUCCUACUCUCCUGACUGUAGCAGCUCAACGUUUCUGCUUCCUGGUUUUCACUGCAAUAGAAGCUUGCCUUCCCUCUAAUGCAGUCUGUUCCAGAUUUUAUUCUUCUCCAGUGCUCCUGUCUGCAUGACUGAAUUUAUUCUUCCACUGCCUUCCUUCUACUGCUUGCAGGGUUCUACAAGAAAGCUGUCUGUGCAGUUCUCGGAAGAAGCAAGCACUACCAGUCUGCCUGCUACUUUGCCUUUCCUGAUUGUGCAGCAGUGCGGCCAUUUGGGUGAAAUCCUGCCAAUGUCCAAGCUGCCUGGGAUAGCGGCAUUGAUCACCUCAUCCUUGCAGUUCUAGGUUUUUUUUCCCAGGUGCAACAAUUAGACAGAAGCAGGCCUUGCUCUGCAGAUUUUCAGUCAGAAGCAGUUCUUGCCCAGGCCUUUCCAGAAUUUUUCCAGGUGCAGAAGCUGAUCAAAUUAGGUAAAUUUCGUGCUGGGCUUCUUUCUCCUGUUUCAGCUGCUGCUUCAACCAUCUGUGAGAUUGCAAUUUUUUUUCUGGAUGUUUGUUGCUCCUCCCUGGUCCUGCAGCAUUUUGCAUUAUGCAGGUGUAGGUCUGAGCGAUCUGAAUCCUGGAGGAUCUGGUUUGUUGCUGCCUUGGAAGAAAGCACCCUGCUGGUUUAGCCUCAAAAUUAAAGUUUUGUUUUUGUAUAGCAUAAACAAGUUGGUCUAGUCUGCACAUGUACUUGUAAAGUUUGGUGAUAAAAAAGUUUUUUUUGAUUUUUCUGUUAAUCUCUAUGGUGGUAAGAACUUUGAUAAGUUUUCAAAAGGGAAUAAUGUUUGUCU